GAUCCCAUAGCUCAGGUGGAUAGAGCGGCGGUUUCCUAAACCGCAGGCCACAAGUUCGAAUCUUGUUGGGAUCA
Molecule: transfer RNA, 74 nt
Filed under: Deltaproteobacteria bacterium
Lineage: Bacteria; Pseudomonadati; Myxococcota; Myxococcia
Description: tRNA-Arg
Rfam family: tRNA
About the family: Transfer RNA (tRNA) molecules are approximately 80 nucleotides in length. Their secondary structure includes four short double-helical elements and three loops (D, anti-codon, and T loops).
Source: RNAcentral